This 229-nucleotide ribosomal RNA is filed under the name uncultured bacterium. RNAcentral's name for it is "partial 16S ribosomal RNA". It matches the Rfam family "Bacterial small subunit ribosomal RNA", at positions 568 to 796 of the family's 1533-position model. The record is from RNAcentral.
UGCGCAGGCGGGGAUGUAAGUCAGUGGUGAAAUACUGCCGCUUAACGGUAGAACUGCCAUUGAUACUGCAUCUCUUGAGUAUGGUUGAGGUAGGCGGAAUGUGUUGUGUAGCGGUGAAAUGCAUAGAUAUGACACAGAACGCCGAUUGCGAAGGCAGCUUACUAAGCCAUUACUGACGCUGAGGCACGAAAGCGUGGGGAGCGAACAGGAUUAGAUACCCUGGUAGUCC